This 253-nucleotide ribosomal RNA is filed under the name uncultured bacterium. Its description in RNAcentral is "partial 16S ribosomal RNA". It matches the Rfam family "Bacterial small subunit ribosomal RNA", at positions 524 to 776 of the family's 1533-position model. The record is from RNAcentral.
UACGGGGGGGGCAAGCGUUGUUCGGAAUUAUUGGGCGUAAAGGGCGCGUAGGCGGCUUUGCGUGUCUUUCGUGAAAUCCCUCGGCUCAACUGAGGACGUGCGGAAGAAACUGCAGGGCUGGAGUCCGGGAGAGGAGGGUGGAAUUCCCAGUGUAGCGGUGAAAUGCGUAGAUAUUGGGAGGAACACCGGUGGCGAAGGCGGCCCUCUGGACCGGUACUGACGCUGAUGCGCGAAAGCGUGGGGAGCAAACGGG